RNAcentral lists this ribosomal RNA (439 nucleotides) under uncultured bacterium. RNAcentral describes it as "bacterial SSU rRNA". It matches the Rfam family "Bacterial small subunit ribosomal RNA", at positions 1036 to 1482 of the family's 1533-position model. The record is from RNAcentral.
AGGUGCUGCGCGGCUGUCGUCAGCUCGUGUCGUGAGAUGUUGGGUUAAGUCCCGCAACGAGCGCAACCCUCGUGUCUAGUUACUAACAGUUCGGCUGAGGACUCUAGACAGACUGCCUUCGUAAGGAGGAGGAAGGUGAGGACGACGUCAAGUCAUCAUGGCCCUUACGGCUAGGGCGACACACGUGCUACAAUGGAUAGGACAAUGAGACGCAAUAUCGCGAGAUGGAGCAAAUCUAUAAACCUAUUCUCAGUUCGGAUUGUAGUCUGCAACUCGACUACAUGAAGCUGGAAUCACUAGUAAUCGUAGAUCAGCCAUGCUACGGUGAAUACGUUCCCGGGUCUUGUACUCACCGCCCGUCACACCAUGGGAGUUGAUUUCACCCGAAGCGGGGAAGCUAAAUCGGCUACCCUCCACGGUGGAAUUAGCGACUGGGGUA